Molecule: non-coding RNA, 137 nt
Filed under: Bacillus sp. (in: firmicutes)
Lineage: Bacteria; Bacillati; Bacillota; Bacilli; Caryophanales; Bacillaceae
Also listed under: 1 other name
Description: Bacillus sp. FMN sequence
Rfam family: FMN riboswitch aptamer (RFN element)
About the family: The RFN element is a highly conserved domain that is found frequently in the 5'-untranslated regions of prokaryotic mRNAs that encode for flavin mononucleotide (FMN) biosynthesis and transport proteins. This element is a metabolite-dependent riboswitch that directly binds FMN in the absence of proteins. In Bacillus subtilis, the riboswitch most likely controls gene expression by causing premature transcription termination within the 5' untranslated region of the ribDEAHT operon and precluding access to the ribosome-binding site of ypaA mRNA.
Source: RNAcentral
AUUCGUCUUCGGGGCAGGGUGUAAUUCCCGACCGGCGGUAAUGAAUGAUUUCAUUCUAAGCCCGCGAGCCUGUUGUUUGGGCAGGAUUUGGUGAGAUUCCAAAGCCGACAGUAUAGUCUGGAUGGGAGGAGAUGAAG